GACGAACGCUGGCGGCGUGCUUAACACAUGCAAGUCGAACGGAAAGGCCUCUUUCGGGGGGUACUCGAGUGGCGAACGGGUGAGUAACACGUGAGUAACCUACCCUUGACUUUGGGAUAACUUCAGGAAACUGGGGCUAAUACCGGAUAGGAGCUCCUGCUGCAUGGUGGGGGUUGGAAAGUUUCGGCGGUUGGGGAUGGACUCGCGGCUUAUCAGCUUGUUGGUGGGGUAGUGGCUUACCAAGGCUUUGACGGGUAGCCGGCCUGAGAGGGUGACCGGCCACAUUGGGACUGAGAUACGGCCCAGACUCCUACGGGAGGCAGCAGUGGGGAAUAUUGCACAAUGGGUGGAAGCCUGAUGCAGCAACGCCGUGUGCGGGAGGACGGCCUUCGGGUUGGAAACCGCUUUCGCUCAUGACGAAGCUUUGUGUGACGGUAGUGGGUAAAGAAGCACCGGCUAACUACGUG
Molecule: ribosomal RNA, 467 nt
Filed under: uncultured bacterium
Lineage: Bacteria
Description: partial 16S ribosomal RNA
Rfam family: Bacterial small subunit ribosomal RNA
Source: RNAcentral